RNAcentral lists this long non-coding RNA (270 nucleotides) under Lathyrus oleraceus (garden pea). RNAcentral describes it as "Pisum sativum (pea) long non-coding RNA (PSAT_LNC029522)". Lineage: Eukaryota; Viridiplantae; Streptophyta; Magnoliopsida; Fabales; Fabaceae. The record is from RNAcentral.
UUUAUCCCUUUGAGUUGUCUUUCGUUUACCCGGAUGCUUGGUAUCGAUUGUCUCUCUUUUUGGUUAGUCACCUAUUAUAUACUUCGAUAUCUCUGGUGUCUUUCCCUUUCGAGUAUAUUAUUCACGGUCUGCCGGUAAUGAAUAGUAUAUCUCAUGCGCUCUUUGGUUGGAAUCCUCUGUUGAUCUUCCCCAGUCGAGUAAGAUUCGUAUUCUUUGUAGAAUCGAAUAUCCAUCCCUUAACCAGUUUGUGUUUUGGAUGAUGAGUGUUUU